RNAcentral lists this ribosomal RNA (850 nucleotides) under uncultured archaeon. RNAcentral's name for it is "bacterial SSU rRNA". It matches the Rfam family "Archaeal small subunit ribosomal RNA", at positions 21 to 859 of the family's 1478-position model. The record is from RNAcentral.
CCCGACUGCUAUUUGGGUGAGAAUAAGCCAUGCGAGUUGAAUGGGAUACCUAAAUUUCCCAUAGCAAACUGCUCAGUAACACAUGAUCAACUUACCCUAUAGAGAAAAAUAACCUCGGGAAACUGAGGAUAAUAUUUCAUAAUUGAAUUGGCUUGGAAAAGUUUUUCAAUGAAAAGGAUAAAAAAAAUGGUUUUUAUCUGCUAUAGGAUAGGAUCGUGUUCGAUUAUGGUUGUUGGUGAGAUAAUGGCUCACCAAGCCGAUAAUCGAUAGGGGCCGUGAGAGCGGGAGCCCCGAGAUGGGUACUUAGACAACGACCCAGGCCUUACGAGGCGCAGCAGGCGCGGAACCUCCGCAAUACACGAAAGUGUGACGGGGUUACCCAAAGUGUUCAAUAGAACUGUGGUAGGUGAGUAAUGUUCCCUACUAGAAAGGAGAGGGCAAGGCUGGUGCCAGCCGCCGCGGUAAAACCAGCUCUUCAAGUGGUCGGGAUAAUUAUUGGGCUUAAAGUGUCCGUAGCCGGUUUAGUAAGUUCCUGGUAAAAUCGGGUAGCUUAACUAUCUGUAUGCUAGGAAUACUGCUAUACUAGAGGGCGGGAGAGGUCUGAGGUACUACAGGGGUAGGGGUGAAAUCUUAUAAUCCUUGUAGGACCACCAGUGGCGAAGGCGUCAGACUGGAACGCGCCUGACGGUGAGGGACGAAAGCCAGGGGAGCGAACCGGAUUAGAUACCCGGGUGGUCCUGGCCGUAAACGAUGCAUACUAGGUGAUGGUACGGCCAUGAGCCGUAUCAGUGCCGUAGGGAAACCGUUAAGUGUGCCGCCUGGGAAGUACGGUCGCAAGGCUAAAACUUAA